UCCUCCUCCGUAAUCUGCAAACAAAUACUAGAUAAAUGUAAAUUAAUUCAAAAAGAAAAAAAAAAGAAAAUUCGAAUUCAUUCCCUCAACCCGUUGAAACCGUUUCCCUCAAUCCCAUGAAUCUCUCCCAUAUCCCCCAACCCCUUUCCUCUAUAUUAAAUCUUCAGCCAUUAUUUCUUUUCCUCACCUAUCGUCUAUGCAAGCGAGAAUCAUCCUCAACUUCUAUCCAAGGUAAACUAUGAUUUAUCAUUUGUAUCUAAAUUCUCUCCUGUUUCAAAAUCUAACAUCAAUUGUUGCUUCCGGCAGUAAUCAAAAUCCUCCAGCUUCAAGAACCCGCCUUUCAGCCUUGUGAACUUCACAACCCAAAUCCAAUUCACGGAGGUGAAUCAUCGCAAGGAAAUCGUGAUCGCAAAGGAAAGAGAGUAAUUUCAAUUUAAGCACUCGAGGUUGAGCGGCGACGAGGAUGUGGUGGUGUUGAG
This is a long non-coding RNA of Salvia splendens (bonfire salvia), 479 nucleotides long. RefSeq lists it as uncharacterized. The transcript is spliced from 3 exons. Lineage: Eukaryota; Viridiplantae; Streptophyta; Magnoliopsida; Lamiales; Lamiaceae. The record is from RefSeq and is a predicted model, not a curated record.